CAUUCUCUCAUUCUCUCUCUCUCUCUCUCUCCCUCUCUCAAGGAUUUAUUCUAUAAAUUCUCUUAUUCUCUUUCAUUCUCUCUCUCUCUCUCUCUCUCUCUCUCUCUCUCUCUCUCUCUCUCUCUCUCUCUCUCUCAUUUUUUCUCUCUCUCUCUCUAAGAUCCUUCGCCGUUCAUCAUCCGUUUCCAAAAACGGAGGGUACUGCGUGGAUCAGAAGAGGAAACUCUACACUUUUAGUGGAUCGGAUCGUCGUUUCGGAGAGUUUCGGGUUUUCCCAAGAAUCGAGGUUUUCAGGAUCUCGAGUUGUCGUUUUGGACCGUUUUCGUACGAAGUUUAUUUCGAAUAUAAGGUAAGGGGAAUUUGAUUACAACAGUUAUUUUGGAAAACUAAACCGCUAAAAAGCUAGUUUAUGUUAUUAUGUAUGAUUUAACUGCUUAUUUGUGAAAUUCUACCGAGUAGAAAUGCCGGUUUGACGAUUUUACGAUUUUUGGUAAAAACGAGGAUUUCGACGUAUGAUCUCCAAAUUUUACAAACAUCGUUAUUUGUGUUUAUACUAUAGUAGGAGAGGCUCGAUUCCUUUAUUUAUUUAGUUAAACUAUGUAUAUUGAAUUUCUAUCAUUUAGCGGGUUUUUGUAUUAAACUUGUGUGAUAUAUGUUGAAAUGAAAAUGAAUGUAUUUUCUAUACUACUGAUAUAGAAUAUGGGAAUGAAAUUUCAAUUUGUUAUACUGACAAUGUGAUAAACAGAGGCUGGUGAUACACCGAGCCGCAUCAGUAAACAAAGAGGGGUAAACUGAGUGGAAAGACGCCGGUUUGAACCCAAUGGAAUUAUUUCUAUACUAUUGAUAUAGAUUAUGGGAGAUAAAAUCAUAUUUGUAUAAAUUGAAUUUAUGAUACACGGAACCACAGCUUGAGAGUCCCGGGAGGGUUGAAAAAUACUUUCUUUGCAGAGUUGAAAUAAACUACUGUUAUAUGAUACGGCACGAUAUCGUAGCUAGAUGUACACGUGCAACCACACGUACUAAACGAUGUGGGUACCAAGAUGGUCGGCUAGCAGGGUGAAACCAUUGGCUGAUAUUGGGCCAAUGGAGGCAGUCGGAUCGUAUGUAGGUACUCGGCAGUGUCUGCACGAACAGGGCAUUGGACGAGUACCAGUGCACAACCCGAGCCACGGGGUAAAACUGGUUAUAGGGAUAUUUUGCUGUUGGUCAUCUGAUAAAUCAUUAAAUGGUCGAAAGACAGAUGUGGGAAUUUUGUAAUAUGAAUAAUGAUAUACCUGAUGCAUUACUGUAUUGAAAAUAUUUGAUUUAUAUUCCAGAUGUUGAAUGAAAAUAUGCAUGUAUGCAGUCACACACUGUUGUAACUCCUUCUUCCUUACUGAGAGGUGUCUCACCCUAUCUUACAACCUUUGUUUUCAGGUCCAUCCGUGCGUCGGUCUUAGUAGAUAAAAGGACUAGGGAGGUUAUUUUGGUUAGCUUACGUAAGCAUCUAAAUUUUUGUACUAAACUUGAUGAAAGUCCUUUUUGGAGGGUUGUAAUAUGACGAUUACUCUAAGUCCGAAUGUAUGUAAAUUAUGGAUGUAUUAGUGAACUCUGGUAUAAGGCUAGUAGUAAUCCCAAUGGAUGUUUAUGUUUU
This is a long non-coding RNA of Malania oleifera, 1633 nucleotides long. RefSeq lists it as uncharacterized. NCBI's taxonomy places the organism in Eukaryota, Viridiplantae, Streptophyta, Magnoliopsida, Santalales, Ximeniaceae. The transcript is spliced from 2 exons. The record is from RefSeq and is a predicted model, not a curated record.